AGGGAAAGAGCCCAAACCAAAGAUUUAUCUUUGGGGUUGCGGACAGAACAUUAACGAGAAAUUAUGGUUAACCGAACACAACUGGAAAGUUGGACCGUAGGGGGUAAUAGUCCUGUAGGUGAAAAUUAUAAUGAUCAAGUUCUGAUCCAGAGUACCACGAGACACGUGAAACCUUGUGGGAAGCAGGGAGGACCACCUCCCAAGGCUAAAUACUACCUGAUGACCGAUAGUGAAGCAGUACCGUGAGGGAAAGG
This 254-nucleotide ribosomal RNA is filed under the name Clostridium botulinum. Its description in RNAcentral is "partial 23S ribosomal RNA". It matches the Rfam family "Bacterial large subunit ribosomal RNA", at positions 258 to 514 of the family's 2925-position model. The record is from RNAcentral. Lineage: Bacteria; Bacillati; Bacillota; Clostridia; Eubacteriales; Clostridiaceae.